UACAGAGGGUGCAAGCGUUGUUCGGAAUUACUGGGCGUAAAGGGCGCGUAGGCGGCUCAUGAAGGCUGUGGUGAAAGUCCGGGGCUCAACCUCGGAUCGGCCGUGGCGACUCGUGGGCUGGAGCACUGUAGAGGCGGGUGGAAUUCCGGGUGUAGCGGUGGAAUGCGUAGAGAUCCGGAAGAACACCAGUGGCGAAGGCGGCGACCUGGACAGUAACUGACACUCAACUACGAAAGCGUGGGGAGCAAACAGG
RNAcentral lists this ribosomal RNA (253 nucleotides) under uncultured bacterium. RNAcentral describes it as "partial 16S ribosomal RNA". It matches the Rfam family "Bacterial small subunit ribosomal RNA", at positions 524 to 776 of the family's 1533-position model. The record is from RNAcentral.